CCGACCUUAGCUCAGUUGGUAGAGCGGAGGACUGUAGUUGAAGCAGAAUAUCCUUAGGUCACUGGGUUCGAAUCCGGUAGGUCGGA
This 86-nucleotide transfer RNA is filed under the name Arabidopsis thaliana x Arabidopsis arenosa. RNAcentral describes it as "tRNA-Tyr". It matches the Rfam family "tRNA". From Rfam's summary of the family: Transfer RNA (tRNA) molecules are approximately 80 nucleotides in length. Their secondary structure includes four short double-helical elements and three loops (D, anti-codon, and T loops). Lineage: Eukaryota; Viridiplantae; Streptophyta; Magnoliopsida; Brassicales; Brassicaceae. The record is from RNAcentral.